Molecule: long non-coding RNA, 3443 nt
Organism: Orcinus orca (killer whale)
Lineage: Eukaryota; Metazoa; Chordata; Mammalia; Artiodactyla; Delphinidae
Exons: 2
Source: RefSeq, a predicted model, not a curated record
UCUCUUUCCUUCGCAGCGCGUGCGGCUGGUGUCAGAGGCUUCUGCUCUUUUCCGUUUGGUAGAGGCCUGUGGUAACGAUGUGAAUUUAACCCGCUCAACGCAGGCAGCCCAGGGCUCGCUCUGCAGGGGCUUCACCCAAAUGAAGGUGAACUAAUUCAGCCUUGAGGAGGCCUUACUCUCACUGCAGUGUCAUCAGUCUUUAAGAGCUGAGGAGGUAUGGUGUGGGUUCUGGCUUCGAAGGUACUGCUCUUACCUUUGCCCACCCUUUCACUACUAUCAGACGCGGGAAGAGUGGCCCCUCCGAGCUUUACAUAAGGCCAAAUCCAUUGUCCAGUUAAUCAGUUUUUAUCCUGGGUUUGGUUGUCCUCCAGACCUUGAAUCCAGAUAUGCAUGGACUUGAUUAAUUUGUUAUCCAGUAGGGGUUAGGAGAUUCCCCACUUGUCACUCUUCAUUCUUUUGUAACCCAGUAAUGGGAUGGUUUGGGCCAUACAGGUGAUGCUGUUAUGCUUAACAUUUAUUAUGAGUUGUCUGUCUUCAUGAUUGUCAAGCAGAAUUUAAAGUAUAACUGUGUACGGUGCUUGUAUAAGUAUUGUUCACUACACUGUUUUGGAAUCAGUUUGUACUGUUGGGGAUCUUACACACAAGAGUGGCAAUGAAUUUGCCUUUUGCAAAUGAUGUUCUUUGCUUUUCUGUUUAGUUUCCUUUUCUGUUGCUGACCCUCAAAAAGAUAUUUGGCUUAUAGUGGAUGCAGAUGAAUGAACAGACGGCAGCAGUCAGGCAGCCCUGAGAACCACAAGGGUUUUCUGAGGAAGGAGGCAUAAUAUUGCAAGCUUGAUUUCAUCCUCCAUUCUGAUCAUUUGAUGUCCCACUGUCUGGCAGCUGAUUUGUUUAGUGACCCAUUGAUCUGAAAUACACAAAAGUGGCUGACCAGUGAAUUCCAGGGUAUCUAAGAAACCCAAAGUAGAUGUGAUGGACCCAGGAGACAUGCUACGGAGGCAAGAAUCCUCUUAGACGUUAUUUACCACCUAAUCGGUUGUUGUAUUAAUUAUGGCUGGUGAGUACAUUUUUAUCCUUUCAAGUUUACUUUAAAAAUAUUUAAAGAACUAGGACUUUAAAAUAGUUACAGUCAUUUACAUUUUCCCAGGCCCUGUUAAUCAGUUACGGCUUUUGCAGUUUCCCUGUAAUUAUCUUUGCUUUCCUUUUCUGCUUUGGCACUUGGGUAGCUGCACAUGGCAACUUAACGUUUGUAGAUCUAGCUGAAAAUCUUGGGUGGCGGGAGGGUUGGCUGGUGGUAGAUAGGAUAUAGAGAGGUGUUUGGGCUCUCUGGAGUUAAUUCAUCUUACCCCAUGACUAUGGAUAUUUUGAAAAGUGGUCUGUUUUUCAACUUGGUUGAAACUUCAUAAGGUAUUAGAAUAUUUUUCCACUUGGGGGGAAGAAAACAAGUUCUGAAGAAUAAGUUUGUGUUUGCAGAAUACAAAACUAUUAUUUCUUAGUAGGUUGUCAUUUGUCAUUAGAAAAAUGAUACUUGGCUGAAAGUCCUUGCUUCUUAAAAUCUAAAAACCUAAAAUUUCAUCCUUCAUCCUUUGUCUAAUUUAUACUUUCGUGGGAAUAAAUAACCCUAUUCGUUGGCAGAGCCAGCAAACCAAUAUAUACAUACAUACAUAACACAGUUUAAUAAUCCUUAGUCAAGACUUUAGGUGUUUUGUCAGUGUACAGUUUGUGUCAGGAAACACUGUCAAAAGACACUUGACUUGAUGCCCAGGAUAGCCUAGACGGUAAUAAACUCAUGCUUCAACUGAAUAAGACCUCCACAAGAUGUCUUGAGGAAACCAAGGUUUAAAGAUAACUGGCCUGCACAUUUACUAGGUUGAGUCACGUGAAAUUGCUGAUAACUGAUCAGAAAGAAAGGCUGUUUUCUGGGUCACCCUCUUAUAACUGUCAAUUAAGAAAGGAGCAGCUUCACUGUUUAAAAAGUUUGAUGUGGUUGGGGAAGAUUUUCCCCAUGGCAGUUAGUCAUGACUGGACUGUGCUUAGGGCUGCACUGAGGAGACACCAGCUCUGGUGAGUUUCUUCUGAAAUUGUUUUUGUGGAAGGAAAGGGAGGGGUAUGGGGUUUUGCUGGUCAAUCAGCAGCUCAGGAUAGUUGGGGGAGACGGUUUCUUCUUCAAGUACCUGUGAGAAAGUUAUUUUUUUGUCUUAUUUACUGCAGAAUUAGAAUUCCAGGUCACUGGAACAUGUGACUGGUGUGUUCUACAUAUUAAUGCAGCCUGACCAUUUUCUAUUUGGUUUAGAGACAGACUUGGCUAAGAUGAAUCAAUUCUAUUUGCCUUCCAGCUAUUAGAAUACAUUUUUUUUGGGGGGGGGGCUGUGAAAUAACUUUGGGCCAGAGACCGAAACAGCAGACAAAGGUAGCAGUAUGUCUAGUGGACAAGAGUGGCUCUCUAGAGUCUGUGAUUUUUGAAUACAACUCUGCAUUAAGGUACAGGUAGGUAUCGCAGAACCUUAAUACUUUUCAAUGUUCCUGGCAACUGAAUUCUUUAACACCUAGGCACUACAUAGCAUGGGGGAUGAGGAACAGUCCCUGUUCCUGGUAGUGUUCUUCAUUUGACAGUUCUGGCUCAUGAGGUCUGCCAAGUAUUUUGGGGGAUAAGACUUAUCCUUGAACUUGUCGGGGUCUAAUGAGUGAAACCCAGCCCACAUUAAGGAGCAUAUGUCAGAACAUUAACUAAACUGGGAUUUCUGCAAUUAUUCUUUCUUGGUUACCACCUGGAAGCUCGUAAGUGGCUUCACUUUUAUAACUGUGGACCCAGCACAUUUUUUAUAUACAGAUAUAUAUCAACUAAAUGAAUCCUAUUUUUAAAUGACAUUGAGUCAGACUUAGUCCAAUGAGAAGCUAAUUUCACAAGGUUGAGGGAUGCCUGUCACCCACUGGCUUUUAGGAAUGCAUGUUCCAAACAUCUUCAUGAGUUCAGAGUGAGACAUGUCCCUGCAGACACACUAGACUUGAUUGCUGAAACCAGGUCAGUAGAAACCAUUGAAGUUUAUUGGCGGUCACAAUGCUUACACUGUAUGCAGCAAACACCCUUACAAGUCUAUCCGCAACCUGAUCACGCAAGAAAGGAUUCACCACACAGUCGCCAGAGGAGAAGGAAAAAAAAAUUAACAGGCUUGUUUCUGGGGGUAGAGGAGAGAAAUAAAAAAAAAACCUAAUUGAUGAGUGUCCCAUGGGCAAGAGCUGAACUAGAGAUGCGUACAACUAGCAGCAACAAUUGUGGAAAAAGUACAAGGCAAAUAGCUUUCUCCAUUAAUUUUCCUCCGUAGGUUAAUUUUUUUUAAUAUUCAAAACAUUUAUUAUGGUUUUCAUUUUAUAAAAAUGUAUAUUUUUAAAGGGGUGGGAGAAUGUUAAAUACUUCAUGCUAGGUAGGCCUUGUUAUUAAGAACCCC